This is a long non-coding RNA of Setaria italica (foxtail millet), 922 nucleotides long. RefSeq lists it as uncharacterized. Lineage: Eukaryota; Viridiplantae; Streptophyta; Magnoliopsida; Poales; Poaceae. The transcript is spliced from 2 exons. The record is from RefSeq and is a predicted model, not a curated record.
GAAUCACCGUGAUUUAGGCAUAAUAUGCCGAUUUGAGCUGCUUAUGUGUAAGGUUGGACCAUGGGUCUUGGGGAAACAAGUACUAAUUGGCAUUUACGUUUCCAAUAUUAGCUAGUGUAAAUGUGAACUCAUGUCAGAGCAAAGCAGUGCAAUCUAGAAUUAGCUUUCCAUGUGUGACCUAAAUCCACUAUUGCUGAAGCUGUGCUUCCAAGUUGGAUCUGACUCUUUUAUAGCUGGUAAAAGCGAUAAACUAUUUCCAUGUUGAGACAUCAACAACAGUAUUAACGCAUAAUUGUAGCGAGUGAAGGGGGCAGUGCCUGGAGAUAAGAGGGUUGUUUGUGUGGAUUUGCGCUUCUGGCCUUUCAUCAGUAGAACAAAGGGCUGCAUCAAGAUAUGCCAACUAAGGAAAUAAAGAAACAUAUUGAAUAUGCUCCUCUUAAUUGCUAUGGAGUUAUGGACAUAUAUGGUAGUAGAGAUUGAAUUUAGGAAUCAAGGAAAAUAUUUUAUAUCUUCUGUAACAUGCAUACUUAUGGGCAUCACCAUCUGGUCAGAGUUGUAUUCCCUUUGUUAGUAAUUAAAGCUAGCAGUGAUCAAAACCUGCGCAACCGAAGGCUUUGGUGAAGAGUUUUCAUCCACAAGAAGUGCAAAGGUCUGAAGACCAUGCAAUGGUCAUUCCAGAUUAGCGAAAAGAAGUGAAGGAUAUGAAUGACGGCUGAUGUCUAUUUCUAGAUGACAGUCAUGCUGUGUUUAUCUGGAGGGAUUUGGGGGAUGUAAUAACUAAAGAAGAUCUCUGUACUGCAGUGGUUCUAGCGUUUAUGUUGGUUGUUCCAUAGAUCAUGGAUAUUUGGAUUCACUCAGAACUUUGUAAUUUUGUUACCUUUGGUAAUGAAGUUUGGAAUGCCCCGUUAUGUGGGAAAAACUA